UGGCCAAGAAACUUGUCUUCGACCAUGAGGAUCUCAAGUUGUCUCCAUGAAUGAUCUCAUGACUUACCUAUAGAGAUAUUGAUGUUCUUGUUGCAGGUAUUAGUCCAAAAGUGCAACCAAGUUCCAUGCAAGUAUGUUUGGUUCAAUAAUCAAACUUAACAACAUGUCUUGUUUGAUUAAGGUAGUAUAUUUAACCUAAGAACCAUGCUUAAUUUAAAAAGACUAUGGAGGUACUCACUCGAGCAAUUAGUAUAACCAAACCAAAGCAUACUAACAUAGAAAGAGGGAGCAUGAUAGGAUGAACAAGAUUCAUUAUACUAGAGACAAGAUAAUGAGUGAUGAAGACAAGAGACAAAUAUUUUUUUCUUUUAUUAUUAUUAUUUUUUAAUUUUUAUAUGCAAGGCAAUGCAAAGUGGAGGAUGAAUGCAUUUAAACAAAUAUGCUAUGGUUAAAAUAAAGAUU
RNAcentral lists this long non-coding RNA (462 nucleotides) under Sorghum bicolor (sorghum). RNAcentral's name for it is "long non-coding RNA (SBIC_LNC005020)". Lineage: Eukaryota; Viridiplantae; Streptophyta; Magnoliopsida; Poales; Poaceae. The record is from RNAcentral.